CGAAGGUUGGCUAAUCCUGGUCGGACAUCAGGAGGUUAGUGCAAUGGCAUAAGCCAGCUUGACUGCGAGCGUGACGGCGCGAGCAGGUGCGAAAGCAGGUCAUAGUGAUCCGGUGGUUCUGAAUGGAAGGGCCAUCGCUCAACGGAUAAAAGGUACUCCGGGGAUAACAGGCUGAUACCGCCCAAGAGUUCAUAUCGACGGCGGUGUUUGGCACCUCGAUGUCGGCUCAUCACAUCCUGGGGCUGAAGUAGGUCCCAAGGGUAUGGCUGUUCGCCAUUUAAAGUGGUACGCGAGCUGGGUUUAGAACGUCGUGAGACAGUUCGGUCCCUAUCUGCCGUGGGCGCUGGAGAACUGAGGGGGGCUGCUCCUAGUACGAGAGGACCGGAGUGGACGCAUCACUGGUGUUCGGGUUGUCAUGCCAAUGGCACUGCCCGGUAGCUAAAUGCGGAAGAGAUAAGUGCUGAAAGCAUCUAAGCACGAAACUUGCCCCGAGAUGAGUUCUCCCUGAG
This 509-nucleotide ribosomal RNA is filed under the name Salmonella enterica subsp. enterica serovar Anatum. RNAcentral describes it as "partial 23S ribosomal RNA". It matches the Rfam family "Bacterial large subunit ribosomal RNA", at positions 2311 to 2819 of the family's 2925-position model. Lineage: Bacteria; Pseudomonadati; Pseudomonadota; Gammaproteobacteria; Enterobacterales; Enterobacteriaceae. The record is from RNAcentral.